GUCGUGGGGACCAGUUGGGGACCACACCAUACGCGCGACGGUGUACGACACGCUUCUUCGCACUGGGGGGGGGCAGGGGGCGCAGGUUCAAAUCCUGUCGUCCCGACCA
Molecule: transfer RNA, 109 nt
Filed under: Streptomyces nymphaeiformis
Lineage: Bacteria; Bacillati; Actinomycetota; Actinomycetes; Kitasatosporales; Streptomycetaceae
Description: Streptomyces sp. SFB5A tRNA-OTHER
Source: RNAcentral